RNAcentral lists this ribosomal RNA (425 nucleotides) under uncultured bacterium. RNAcentral describes it as "partial 16S ribosomal RNA". It matches the Rfam family "Bacterial small subunit ribosomal RNA", at positions 354 to 796 of the family's 1533-position model. The record is from RNAcentral.
GUGGGGAAUCUUGCGCAAUGGGCGAAAGCCUGACGCAGCCAUGCCGCGUGAAUGAUGAAGGUCUUAGGAUUGUAAAAUUCUUUCACCGGGGACGAUAAUGACGGUACCCGGAGAAGAAGCUCCGGCUAACUUCGUGCCAGCAGCCGCGGUAAUACGAAGGGGGCUAGCGUUGCUCGGAAUUACUGGGCGUAAAGGGCGCGUAGGCGGACAGCUUAGUCAGAGGUGAAAGCCCAGGGCUCAACCUUGGAAUUGCCUUUGAUACUGGCUGUCUUGAGUUUGGGAGGGGUGAGUGGAACUCCGAGUGUAGAGGUGAAAUUCGUAGAUAUUCGGAAGAACACCAGUGGCGAAGGCGACUCACUGGCCCAAUACUGACGCUGAGGCGCGAAAGCGUGGGGAGCAAACAGGAUUAGAUACCCUGGUAGUCC